AUCGAGAAAGGCAAAACCAGCCAAAGCUGGUGACGCAAAGCCACGGGUCCUCGCCUCCUCCGAGAAGCCAUGGACGACCUCCCGAAGGACCAAGACAGCCGGCUGCCGUAA
RNAcentral lists this non-coding RNA (111 nucleotides) under Thiotrichales bacterium. Its description in RNAcentral is "c-di-GMP sequence". It matches the Rfam family "c-di-GMP-I riboswitch aptamer". Rfam says of the family: GEMM was predicted in a large-scale screen for bacterial structured RNA regulatory elements. Genes associated with GEMM are involved in a diverse array of functions, including chemotaxis regulation, signal transduction, secretion and chitin. Lineage: Bacteria; Pseudomonadati; Pseudomonadota; Gammaproteobacteria; Thiotrichales. The record is from RNAcentral.